RNAcentral lists this ribosomal RNA (344 nucleotides) under uncultured bacterium. Its description in RNAcentral is "bacterial SSU rRNA". It matches the Rfam family "Bacterial small subunit ribosomal RNA", at positions 30 to 371 of the family's 1533-position model. The record is from RNAcentral.
AUUGAACGCUGGCGGCGUGCUUAACACAUGCAAGUCGUGCGGUAACAGGCGUAGCAAUACGUGCUGACGAGCGGCGAACGGGUGCGUAAUACAUGGGAAUCUGCCUUUUAGUGGGGGAAUAACCCGGCGAAAAGCCGGGCUAAUGCCGCAUAAGAUCUUCGGAUGAAAGCGGGGGAUCGUAAGACCUCGCGCUGAUAGAUGAGCCCAUGCCGGAUUAGCAGUUGGUGAGGUAACGGCUCACCAAGGCGACGAUCCGUAGCUGGUCUGAGAGGACGGCCAGCCACACUGGGACUGAGACACGGCCCAGACUCCUACGGGAGGCAGCAGUGGGGAAUAUUGGACAA